AGUGAACGCUGGCGGUAGGCCUAGCACAUGCAAGUCGAACGGCAGCACAGUAAGAACUUGCUCUUACGGGUGGCGAGUGGCGGACGGGUGAGGAAUACAUCGGAAUCUACUUUUUCGUGGGGGAUAACGUAGGGAAACUUACGCUAAUACCGCAUACGACCUACGGGUGAAAGCAGGGGAUCUUCGGACCUUGCGCGAUUGAAUGAGCCGAUGUCGGAUUAGCUAGUUGGCGGGGUAAAGGCCCACCAAGGCGACGAUCCGUAGCUGGUCUGAGAGGAUGAUUAGCCACACUGGAACUGAGACACGGUCCAGACUCCUACGGGAGGCAGCAGUGGGGAAUAUUGGACAAUGGGCGCAAGCCUGAUCCAGCCAUACCGCGUGGGUGAAGAAGGCCUUCGGGUUGGAAAGCCCUUUUGUUGGGAAAGAAAAGCAGCAGGUUAAUACCCCGCUGUUCUGACGGUACCCAAAGAAUAAGCACCGGCUAACUUCGUG
This 492-nucleotide ribosomal RNA is filed under the name uncultured bacterium. Its description in RNAcentral is "partial 16S ribosomal RNA". It matches the Rfam family "Bacterial small subunit ribosomal RNA", at positions 29 to 507 of the family's 1533-position model. The record is from RNAcentral.